This is a long non-coding RNA of Helianthus annuus (common sunflower), 2967 nucleotides long. RefSeq lists it as uncharacterized. The record is from RefSeq and is a predicted model, not a curated record. The transcript is spliced from 3 exons. Lineage: Eukaryota; Viridiplantae; Streptophyta; Magnoliopsida; Asterales; Asteraceae.
UUCAAAAAACAUUGGGUGCUUUUCAAGUUGCUGUGUUAUGUGCUUUAUCAGAAACAAAGAUAGAGAGGUGCCAGUAAGAGAGAAAGGGAGAUUUGGAAGAGAGAGAGAGAGAGGUGUCUCCGGCAGCAGGUUCCCGGCACGUGUAGAUGGUGGCGGCUCAAGGGUUUUCAGUGGUUUAGUUCUGACCUAGUGAGUCUCCGGCGACCGGUUUCCGACAUCCUAGCCGCCUGCAACAUAUCCAUUGCUGUAGUCUGGUUGCUUUUUGCUCAAAUUCUGUUGGUUUCUUUUACGUUUUGUUUAAUUGCUGAAUUUUUUGCUUUCGCCUUAGGUUGGUAUGUUUUUACUCAGGUGAUUGGUUAAUCUAUGCAUAAUUUCUGUGUGGUAUGCUUUCAUUUUUCAUGUAGAUAUUGUUAAUGGCUUUUACCUUGUCUGAGGUGUUCAAUUUUGUGUGUAGUCGAUUGUUGUAUUUGGGGUUUAGGGUUAUUCUUUUAAGUAUUAUUUGCGUUUUUUUGCGAUGAUUAGAAGAUAGAAAGAUAAAGGUAGCAGCGCAUUGGUAACUAGGGAUGAGCAUGUGGUACCAACUACCGAUACCAUAUCGAUACCGUCCCGUACCGAUACCAUACCGGUUGUAUUCGGUAUCGGUAUCGCUAUUACGUUUUACCAUUUUUUCGGGAUCGGGAUUUUCGGGAUUGUUACCGGUAUUUUUUGAUAAUACCGAAUUAGUACCGAUUUCCCACUUAUUCCUAUUUCCCACCCAUAAUUCAAGUAGGGUGGUGAACUUUAAUUUAGAACUAGAGUGUAAGUCUUCUCAUUAUCAAUCCAAAUCAAAUUCCAAAUUCUCAUAAACAAAACAUGACGAUCCUAACAUAUUUGUAUGUUAAACUGAAACUGCUUAGCAUGUUAAACUCAAAUUUAUAUAUUUGUAUUAAUAAUAAAAUAUUAAGGAUAAUAAUAAUAGAAAAUUAAAUCUUAACAAAUUUUGGCCCAUAUCAUAAACAGAGGUUUUUUUUUUUGGUAAAAGGUUACCCCUGAAUACUUGCAUUGGGUAUGUUUGUGCAUGAACAAGGAUCUGUCCUAAUAUGCAAAAGGGCCAGUUCGGUCUGUUGAUGUAAGAACCAGGGACCAUGGCUGAGGUUUGGGGUCACCUUAACCUUACGACUUGAUGGUUUUACGACACAAAGGAUAUUUUUUAACCGGCGUACUUAAUAUUCAACAUGUAAGCUAUCAUACUUAAUAAUUUACAUUUGAGCAACAACAUAGUUGUUAGUUGAUCCUUUAUAAAAAAACAAGUGUUAGAAUUUGGUAUCAAAUAUGAAUUAAAAGAGAAUGACAAAUAGAUGAUAGUCGAAUGCUUUAAUUUCCCUAACCAUGCUCUUCAAAUUUCCAGUAUUCUAUAAUGUAUAUGCCUUAACUUUUUUGCAAAUCUUGGUAUCCAAAAUGGGAGAUAGAGCUGGUUGAUGAUUUUGGUGCCAACAUAUCAAUUUAAGAAUUCGGUGCCAACCGGUAUCAUACCGAACAACCAGUAUCGUACCGGUAUUUUCGGUACGGUACCAACUUUUCAUGAAUAUCGGGAUCGGUAUCGGUUCGCUACCGUGCUCACCCCUAUUGGUAACUGGUGGUGAAACCCCGGUAAGUGUUUCCUCACUUACAUGUUCCACCCAUUUGAUAGAUCGGUCGCGGAAGUUCUAAAAAGUCGACCACAACUACACACCCACCAGGUGAAAGGAGUGUAUAUCUGACAUCAUUAACGUCAUCUCCUGUCAUUCUGUUAUCGUAAUUUUAUAGACAUAACUAGCUGGUUUAAUUAAGUACUAAAAUUAUACAAAUUAUACAUUUUCUAUAAACCUAAAUGCUUCGACCUGUUACAUAACCAAUAUAUAUUUUCAGUUGUAUAAAUAGUGUCUGUGUAUGUAGGUGUUUUGGCAUGACUUAACUUUUUUAAAUUAUUAGGUUAUAACAACUGUUAACUAACACUUAACAAUGCUUUAUUAUAUAUAAAAUAUAAUUGACUAACUGUAGCUACAACUAGAGUUAGUUUGCAAGCUAGAGGGGUCAAUGAUAGCACAUGGAGUGAAACUCAUUUUUCUACACAUAUUAUGUCUAUGCAUGUUAUGUUUAAUCGGUGUUCUUACUAUGAUUUUGUUUGUAUAAGUUUGCUAUCUUGUAGAUCCAGGUCAACUAGAAGGAGGCCAGUCUAAAUCCGAGGGCCAGAAGGAUACAGAAGGCACAGAGCGCACGACUUCCAGUAGCAGUGCAAUAAAAUCUACAAAUGAUAGCGCUUUAUCAUCGAAUUCGACUAUAGUUGUUCCUGUUGGCCUUAGCUUAGGAGCGAACUGUAUGUUGAUUUCCGCAAGUUUCCUGAAAUGUACGACAAACCUUCAUGGUUGCACUGGAAUCGAUUCUCAUAUUUGCAGCUUGGAUAUCUUGGAUUUCUGUCUUUCCAUAUUGUCAGCUUUAUGUUUUGUUUACACUGGAAUCGAUUCUCAUAUUUUUACAGUUUGUUGAAGAUGGUGGAUUAAAGAGUUUUUGAAUGAUGCCACUGACUUACCAACUGUCCUUUUACCUGAUGAAACUUUUUCUUUAGCUUUUGUUCUCUCGGCUGAUGUAAUAUUUUUUUAGGCUUCAACUUUGGUUUCGGUGGAUUUCGGUGCGUUGUUGCUUUCCAGUGGCCUGUCUCAAGCGGAACAUGUGUCAUAUCUUAGGUUGAGAACGGCCAAGGAGAUAUUGAGAUUAGGUGCUGGAUAACAUCUGUCAUGCUUUAAGCAUGUGGUGUACAUAAUAAUUCUUGCUGGCACGGCAAAUGAAAAUGUAGUGGCGAGUUUCGUUAGUGUAUGUUGUUUAGUUAUAUAUAUAUAUAGAUGAUCCUCAGACUGUUUUUGCUACAUGAAAGGUAGAAUUAAACCACUACAAAGAUUUGAUUCUUUUGUAAUUUUGUUUUACUUGAAUGAAGUAGAUAGAUUAUAAGGA